CACGUAGGGACCAAGCGUUGUCCGGAUUCAUUGGGCGUAAAGAGCUCGUAGGCGGUUCAGUAAGUCGGGUGUGAAACCUCCAGGCUCAACCUGGAGACGCCACCCGAUACUGCUGUGACUAGAGUCCAGUAGGGGAGCGUGGAAUUCCUGGUGUAGCGGUGAAAUGCGCAGAUAUCAGGAGGAAUACCAGCGGCGAAGGCGGCGCUCUGGGCCGGUACUGACGCUGAGGAGCGAGAGCGUGGGGAGCAAACGGG
RNAcentral lists this ribosomal RNA (254 nucleotides) under uncultured bacterium. RNAcentral's name for it is "partial 16S ribosomal RNA". It matches the Rfam family "Bacterial small subunit ribosomal RNA", at positions 524 to 776 of the family's 1533-position model. The record is from RNAcentral.